UACAGAGGUCCCAAGCGUUGUUCGGAUUCACUGGGCGUAAAGGGUGCGUAGGCGGUCGGGUAAGUCCGAUGUGAAAUCUCACAGCUUAACUGUGAAACUGCAUUGGAUACUAUUCGGCUAGAGAGUUGGAGGGGGGACUGGAAUUCUUGGUGUAGCAGUGAAAUGCGUAGAUAUCAAGAGGAACACCAGUGGCGAAGGCGAGUCCCUGGACAACUUCUGACGCUGAGGCACGAAAGCUAGGGGAGCAAACAGG
Molecule: ribosomal RNA, 253 nt
Filed under: uncultured bacterium
Lineage: Bacteria
Description: partial 16S ribosomal RNA
Rfam family: Bacterial small subunit ribosomal RNA
Source: RNAcentral